RNAcentral lists this ribosomal RNA (451 nucleotides) under uncultured bacterium. Its description in RNAcentral is "partial 16S ribosomal RNA". It matches the Rfam family "Bacterial small subunit ribosomal RNA", at positions 29 to 523 of the family's 1533-position model. The record is from RNAcentral.
AACGAACGCUGGCGGCAGGCUUAACACAUGCAAGUCGAACGGGUGCAGCAAUGCAUCAGUGGCAGACGGGUGAGUAACACGUGGGAACCUUCCUAGGGGUACGGAACAACUCAGGGAAACUUGUGCUAAUACCGUAUGCGUCCGAGAGGAGAAAGAUUUAUCGCCCGUAGACGGGCCCGCGUCGGAUUAGCUAGUUGGUGGGGUAACGGCCUACCAAGGCGACGAUCCGUAGCUGAUCUUAGAGGAUGAUCAGCCACACUGGGACUGAGACACAGCCCAGACCCCUACGGGAGGCAGCAGUGGGGAAUCUUGGACAAUGGGCGCAAGCCUGAUCCAGCCAUGCCGCGUGAGUGAAGAAGGUCUUCGGAUUGUAAAGCUCUUUUGCCAGGGACGAUAAUGACGGUACCUGGAGAAUAAGCCCCGGCAAACUUCGUGCCAGCAGCCGCGGUAA